AGAGCGAACGCUGGCGGCAGGCCUAACACAUGCAAGUCGAACGGACCCUUCGGGGUUAGUGGCGGACGGGUGAGUAACACGUGGGAACGUGCCUUUUGGUUCGGAAUAGCUCCUGGAAACGGGUGGUAAUGCCGAAUGUGCCCUUCGGGGGAAAGAUUUAUCGCCAUUAGAGCGGCCCGCGUCUGAUUAGCUAGUUGGUGAGGUAAUGGCUCACCAAGGCGACGAUCAGUAGCUGGUCUGAGAGGAUGACCAGCCACAUUGGGACUGAGACACGGCCCAAACUCCUACGGGAGGCAGCAGUGGGGAAUCUUGCGCAAGUGGGCGAAAGCCUGACGCAGCCAUGCCGCGUGAAUGAUGGAAAGGUCUUAGGAUUAGUAAAAUUCUUUCACGGGGACGAUAAUAGAACGGUACCCGGAGAAGAACGCCCGGACUAACUUCGUGCCAGCAGCCGAC
RNAcentral lists this ribosomal RNA (453 nucleotides) under uncultured soil bacterium. RNAcentral describes it as "bacterial SSU rRNA". It matches the Rfam family "Bacterial small subunit ribosomal RNA", at positions 26 to 518 of the family's 1533-position model. The record is from RNAcentral.